RNAcentral lists this microRNA (17 nucleotides) under Corchorus capsularis. Its description in RNAcentral is "sRNA CCACVL1_22290". The record is from RNAcentral. Lineage: Eukaryota; Viridiplantae; Streptophyta; Magnoliopsida; Malvales; Malvaceae.
AGCACUGAAAAGAAACU